Molecule: microRNA precursor, 111 nt
Filed under: Chlorocebus sabaeus (green monkey)
Lineage: Eukaryota; Metazoa; Chordata; Mammalia; Primates; Cercopithecidae
Description: miRNA (ENSCSAG00000019984.1)
Rfam family: mir-3192 microRNA precursor family (bases 12-87)
Source: RNAcentral
GGAAGCAUAGAGGAAGGGAUUCUGGGAGGUUGUAGCAGUGGAAAAAUUCCUUUUUUCCUCUGAUCGCCCUUUCAGCUCUUUCCUUCUGACUGAAAAUCAUCUUCAGCACCU